This 163-nucleotide non-coding RNA is filed under the name Streptomyces aurantiacus JA 4570. RNAcentral's name for it is "Streptomyces sRNA scr5239". It matches the Rfam family "Streptomyces sRNA scr5239". Rfam says of the family: It inhibits agarase DagA expression by direct base pairing to the dagA coding region, and it represses translation of methionine synthase metE (SCO0985) at the 5' end of its open reading frame. Lineage: Bacteria; Bacillati; Actinomycetota; Actinomycetes; Kitasatosporales; Streptomycetaceae. The record is from Rfam by way of RNAcentral.
GCCCCGCUCUUCCCGCACAGAAGAGCGGACCGAGGAGCCGGCGCUCUCUGCCCUGACCGCGUCGGACCUUCCCGGAAUCGGCCGCCGGUACCGCACAUUCCGGCUGCCGAUGCACCUGAAGGGCUGCGGUGUUGGGGCCGGGUUGAGGGUCCCGCCCCGGCGC